This 275-nucleotide ribosomal RNA is filed under the name uncultured soil bacterium. RNAcentral describes it as "partial 16S ribosomal RNA". It matches the Rfam family "Bacterial small subunit ribosomal RNA", at positions 26 to 297 of the family's 1533-position model. The record is from RNAcentral.
AGAUUGAACGCUGGCGGCAGGCUUAACACAUGCAAGUCGGGCGGAAACGAAGGGAGCUUGCUCCCAGGCGUCGAGCGGCGAACGGGUGAGUAACGCGUAGGAAUCUACCUGAUAGAGGGGGAUAGCCCGGGGAAACUCGGAUUAAUACCGCAUACGCCCGUACGGGGGAAAGCAGGGGAUCUUUCGGGACCUUGCACUAUCAGAUGAGCCUGCGUCGGAUUAGCUAGUUGGUAGGUAAAGGCCUACCAAGGCGACGAUCCGUAGCUGGUCUGAGA